GCCCCCGUAGCUCAGGGGAUAGAGCAACGGCCUCCGGAGCCGUGUGCGCACGUUCGAAUCGUGUCGGGGGCACCC
RNAcentral lists this transfer RNA (75 nucleotides) under Actinomycetota bacterium. RNAcentral's name for it is "Actinobacteria bacterium (soil metagenome) tRNA-Arg". It matches the Rfam family "tRNA". Rfam says of the family: Transfer RNA (tRNA) molecules are approximately 80 nucleotides in length. Their secondary structure includes four short double-helical elements and three loops (D, anti-codon, and T loops). The record is from RNAcentral. Lineage: Bacteria; Bacillati; Actinomycetota.